This 465-nucleotide ribosomal RNA is filed under the name uncultured bacterium. RNAcentral's name for it is "partial 16S ribosomal RNA". It matches the Rfam family "Bacterial small subunit ribosomal RNA", at positions 29 to 523 of the family's 1533-position model. The record is from RNAcentral.
AACGAACGCUGGCGGUAUGCUUAACACAUGCAAGUCGAACGAACAAAAUUGGGGCUUGCUCCAAUUUUAGUGAGUGGCAAACGGGUGAGUAACACGUGGGAAUCUACCUAUCAGUACGGAAUAACAUUUGGAAACAGAUGCUAAUACCGUAUAUUCUCCAAGGAGGAAAGAUUUAUCGCUGAUAGAUGAGCCCGCGUAAGAUUAGGUAGUUGGUAGGGUAAUGGCCUACCAAGCCGACGAUCUUUAGCUGGUCUGAGAGGAUGAUCAGCCACACUGGGACUGAGACACGGCCCAGACUCCUACGGGAGGCAGCAGUGGGGAAUAUUGGACAAUGGGCGAAAGCCUGAUCCAGCAAUACCGCGUGAAUGAUGAAGGCCUUAGGGUUGUAAAGUUCUUUUAGUUGGAAGAUAAUGACUGUACCACCAGAAGAAGCCCCGGCUAACUCCGUGCCAGCCGCCGCCGUAA